AUCUAGAGGAGAGCCAGUGGGACAUAGUAACACACAGUCAAUCCUAAAAUUAGUUUACCUCAAAGGAUGCUUUUAACAAUAUUGGAACAUGACCCUAUAGUUGUCUCUGCAUACAGUACCUCCAAUAGGAAGCAGAUGAUGAAGAUGAGUGUGACUAUACUUUUUUUGUGACUGAUUUGCAAGGCACGUUCGUUCAACAUUACCAAACCCAACAAAUAAUGUGAUACAUGACAUGGCCAAAAGUUUUGAUAACUGUAAAUCUUUCUUGGACAAGGGGACUUUUAUCAAUAUAUUCACCUGUAUUUACCCCCCAAAAAUGAAAUGCUAAUUAGCUGCUCACGUGGCUAUCAUAAAGAACUACAAAUGCCAUGACACUGUCGGAUUGAGGCAAAGGUAAGAAUCUCUGGGUCAACUAUCUAAUGUUARCUAAAUGUAGUAAUGAAUUCAUUGGCUAAAUUUCUUUAAAUGGGAAAUUCUGUGAACUGUCUUGUGCAAGUUUUAGUUGACACAAUACCUGUUAGCAAAGGUGUCGGCUAGAGAUGACAUGGAGGGAUUUGUAGUUUUGCAUAAUGUCUACUUUGAUACUAAUCAGCAUUUUAGAAUCUGAGAGUAAAUAGAGCUGAAUAUAUUGAUAAGUCACAUUGUCCGAGAGGAAUUUACAUGAUUAUCAAAAUGUUACGCAAGGGUAAACUUACACGAAACACAGCCCUUAUUUUAAGCGUUUCUAAAAUCCCCUAUGGGAAAUAUGAAUGGUGGGAAAACGAUUGGAACCAUUUCCCUGUUGACCGCUAGGUUUUAUGGGUAUUAUGACAACUCCAUUGUGGGACUCUAUGAAAGGUGCUAUACAAUACAAUUUGAUCAUAAUUACUAUUAAUCAAUGGUCCUUACCAGUACUGGGUGGUGGUGAUCUGCAGAGUGGACAUCUGGCCCAGGAURAGCAGCAGGGUGUGCAGCAUCAGGCUAGCUAGGACCGGCAGCGCCAGCAGUCUAGUGUGGGGCCGCUAGGGGCACAGCUCAAUGCUGGGUCCCCCUUUCCCCAUAACGAUUGCCAGCAGCAUCACCAGGAAAGAACAGGAACUGCAGGUCGACCAGGUUAGUCUUCUCCUGAAAGGGGCACACAAAAUGGCGGAGAGAGUCAACACGUGCUAUAAGUGAGUGAGGGUAAAAUACAAUUCCAAAGCAUUCUUCUGAUCCAGGCAAAUUGAAUGUUAGAUAUCGACAAGAUGUAAGUUAAAACCUGCCAUGAGGAAGUAUGCACCAUAAACCCCUCCAAAACAUUGCACACAUUAUCUGUCAUAUCUCCUGCCUUUAUUUCUUUCCAUAGGUAAAUAAACUGUAGGCUUGGCUUAGCAACCACUAUAGAACUCACAGUGUAGAGGAUGAGUACAGACGAGAACUUGGAUGAGACUAUACAAGGCCAUGUACUUAAAGAGACUGAACGAUGUCACCAGAGAAUCACCCGUGUCAAAAAUAAUUACAACAGCACAUUUUUUCUAUGACUCUACAGUACUCGGUACUGUUGGAUGUCAGGUGUCCUUACCGUGUACAGCUGAUGUUGUCUGAAUUGGAGGUGAAGGGAGUCCACAGAAGCAUCGUCCUCAGACAGACACACUUACAUCUGCGGCCCUCAAGGCUCCGCAAUCAUUGACCCCGUCUCCCCAUAUGCCCACACUGUAGCUACACAGGGAGGAAGAUGGUGAAUGGGUGAGACCUUAGGCCUGUACCCUUUUCACACUACUGAGCUGUGCCAAAGUGAACUGAGCCAAUCAGUGGAAGAAUCUGCCCUGCGUCUGUCCUUUCAUGUACCUCCAUUUGCUACAGAGUUCCUUUGUCUUUCUCUUUUUCCCUACUUUCAAUCAAUGUCAUUCUAGUCCCGUCUCCUCCUCUGGGGCCUAAUUUAUAAACCGUGCGUACAUACAAAACAUACCCCAAAACAUGCGUGUGCCAGUUUUCACACAAAAUUUGCCUUUAUAAAAACUCAAUUUGAGGUUAGAAUGUGCACACCAUCCCGCAAACUUUAGACCAUGCGUAUCUUUAGACAGUUUCUAGUGCUUGAAGUAUUGCAAGCAGGCAAGUAGCCUAGUAUUUUGUGCAACAAAUGGGGGAUAAGAUGGACAAGUUUGUUCAUAAUAAAUUGAUAAGAUUAAAUUGUUUGCCGUUAGUGAGAAGAGAGAACAGCAAUUUUGUUUCUUUGCAUUAUAGAAUAAUUAUAAAUAGGCAUCCAUUUCCUAGGUUAUAUUAGAAUCAUUGCAGAAUAAAUUCCUCACCUUUUCUGUGAUGGUUUUAUACUCACGAGGUAGCCUAUAGACCCGCAACAAGUUAGGAUACCAUUCUUCCUGUCUUUUGUUUAUUUGGACCCACUUCACAGUAGUAAAUAGAUAAGCUAUUUCAAGUAUUUGUCAAUGCCAUCCGAUCCAGAGCACAGUUUAUUAACAGUAGAACAGACAAUGUUUGGGCUACAAAGACAGAGAGAUGCUAUUCAUACCAGAGACCAUGACGGUAUGAAGAUGUGCCAAUAUGAGGGUAGUUAUGACCUGACCAGAUUGUUCAUUACCAGCAGACCGCAGGGACUGCAUGUCUAUCUCUACCUCCCCCCUGUGGACACAAACACAUCUCCAUCAACACCUAGUAAAUGUGAUAGUUCACAAUCGGCGCUACAGGCAGAGGUUUAGAAGAGAUUAUGGAGGACUUGGGUAGUAGCUAGGAGGGACAUAAAGAACAUAAAAUGUUGUUCAAUGGUGCUCAAGUCAGUCUGCCCAUCCAGAGGUUUGUAACCAAAAGGUAGCACCCUGAAGCCUUCACUUGCGAAAGUAUGCAGGGUGUUUGAGAAUUGUGUUGGCACUGCAAGACAUGGUUUAAAAGAAAGACAAUAGAGCUAAACAAUAAUCAAAGAAGACGAGCUUAAAAACACCUCACAAAAUUCAUUUGAACAAGUGUUAAUGCUAAUCUUAUAGCAACUUAUUCUUUCUGUGAAAUAUCUAUAACUUCAUGGCUCUCUUUAUCUCCUCUCUCUUUGUCUUUCUCUCAUACUGCUGUCUUUCAGGCAGAGCCUGGCCAUCAUCUCGGGGCCUCUUUGAGAAAGGCGAGGGGUGGCUGUCCCCCGGGGGCCACUGUCACCUCCGCUGGAGGGAUGAGAAGGGAAACAGCGCAAGAGGGCCAUAGCCUCAUGAAUGGAUUGAUAGAACAUGACAGAAGAAAAACAUGGAAACAUCCAGAGAGCCUCUUUUGCCCAACCCCCCUCCUAAUGGUUCGGUCCUGCCCCCAAACCAGGCACAGAACGGUACUUGCUAGCAGUGAAUUGCGAGUGAGGAGUGCCGGUGGAGCAUCAUGUCUCAACUUCCCAUAGAAAAAUCUGGCUUCCAAAAACGAAAAGGAGACAGGAGAGAGAAAAGGGCGACAGUAUGUCACUCAAUUUUUGACAAAGGAAGGCCCAACAGAUGCAGUAUCAGGCUUGGCAGCCCUGUCCCCCCAUCACCAUACCCCUGAACCAGCCCUACUCCCAACUGAAGAAGUUGAGGUCCACUAUGUCCCAGGACAGGCUUUGCAGUCUUGCCAUGCUGUCCAUUGAAAGUCAGUUAGCUAGAAAGCUGGACUUCAAAGACCUGAUCGUGACUUUGCUAGCAAGAAGGCUCGGCCCUGGGCUCUUGGUGAGUAAGGCUGAGCAAGGGCCAGUGACAACUGUUAAACAACAUGGCUAUUGGAUCACUACACACAAUGCCCACAGGCUAAGAACAAGACUGAAAAUAAGAGAUCUGAAAGUAAUGGCUGGAUUGCCAUAAAAAUGUAUUGUGCACAAUCAAGACCAAGUGGAAGAAACCUAUUGAUUUGGUGACCACUUGACCUUUCCUCUAGCGCCACCAUCAGGCCUUUUCAUUACCAUUUUUACGGCUGCUUAUUUUCUAGUUCUAGAUUUUAUUAUAUCAUUCUAUAGUUGUUCAUUUAUUUUAAUUGAAGAGGUUAAUGUAUAUUUAAGUUAUUUAUUUUAAGUUAUUCAUUAAUGUUAAUAGAAUUUUCCAUUCAAGAAUUUUACCAUUAAUUACAUUUAGACUCUAAAAGAUGGCCUUUAGCACAUUUCUUAUAGAGGGUAUCAGUCUUGAAUCAAAUAGUGAAUUUGACUGUAUGCAGAAUGUUGCAUGCAUGUCUGCACAGUGUUAUAUUUUCACAGCUCACUGUCAGUAAAUAUCGUACAGUAAAUAUUGGACUA
Long non-coding RNA from Salvelinus sp. IW2-2015, 4204 nucleotides. RefSeq lists it as uncharacterized. The record is from RefSeq and is a predicted model, not a curated record. NCBI's taxonomy places the organism in Eukaryota, Metazoa, Chordata, Actinopteri, Salmoniformes, Salmonidae.